Molecule: ribosomal RNA, 465 nt
Filed under: uncultured Klebsiella sp.
Lineage: Bacteria; Pseudomonadati; Pseudomonadota; Gammaproteobacteria; Enterobacterales; Enterobacteriaceae
Description: bacterial SSU rRNA
Rfam family: Bacterial small subunit ribosomal RNA
Source: RNAcentral
CCUACGGGCGGCUGCAGUGGGGAAUAUUGCACAAUGGGCGCAAGCCUGAUGCAGCCAUGCCGCGUGUGUGAAGAAGGCCUUCGGGUUGUAAAGCACUUUCAGCGGGGAGGAAGGCGGUGAGGCUAAUAACCUCAUCGAUUGACGUUACCCGCAGAAGAAGCACCGGCUAACUCCGUGCCAGCAGCCGCGGUAAUACGGAGGGUGCAAGCGUUAAUCGGAAUUACUGGGCGUAAAGCGCACGCAGGCGGUCUGUCAAGUCGGAUGUGAAAUCCCCGGGCUCAACCUGGGAACUGCAUUCGAAACUGGCAGGCUAGAGUCUUGUAGAGGGGAGUAGAAUUCCAGGUGUAGCGGUGAAAUGCGUAGAGAUCUGGAGGAAUACCGGUGGCGAAGGCGGCCCCCUGGACAAAGACUGACGCUCAGGUGCGAAAGCGUGGGGAGCAAACAGGAUUAGAUACCCUAGUAGUC